UGGCACGUAGCUCAGUCUGGUCAGAGCGCCCGCCUGAUACGCGGGGUCAUUGCGGUGGUUCAAGUCCACCCGUGCCAA
Molecule: transfer RNA, 78 nt
Filed under: Gemmatimonadota bacterium
Lineage: Bacteria; Pseudomonadati; Gemmatimonadota
Also listed under: 1 other name
Description: Gemmatimonadetes bacterium tRNA-Ile
Rfam family: tRNA
About the family: Transfer RNA (tRNA) molecules are approximately 80 nucleotides in length. Their secondary structure includes four short double-helical elements and three loops (D, anti-codon, and T loops). Further hydrogen bonds mediate the characteristic L-shaped molecular structure. tRNAs have two regions of fundamental functional importance: the anti-codon, which is responsible for specific mRNA codon recognition, and the 3' end, to which the tRNAs corresponding amino acid is attached (by aminoacyl-tRNA synthetases). tRNAs cope with the degeneracy of the genetic code in two manners: having more than one tRNA (with a specific anti-codon) for a particular amino acid; and 'wobble' base-pairing, i.e. permitting non-standard base-pairing at the 3rd anti-codon position.
Source: RNAcentral